This is a long non-coding RNA of Dermochelys coriacea (leatherback sea turtle), 1870 nucleotides long. RefSeq lists it as uncharacterized. Lineage: Eukaryota; Metazoa; Chordata; Testudines; Dermochelyidae. The record is from RefSeq and is a predicted model, not a curated record. The transcript has 3 exons.
UUCACUUUCCUUACAUUCAGAAUCCUCUCUUCUGCUUCUGGCAAUGCAAACUUUACAGAAGUGAUAGUGAUGCUGGAAGUGUUACAUAUGUAUUGAUGUACCAAAAUGUCAUGUCUAUCCACUAUCUGUUAAUGUCUUAAAAUUUACAUAUUUGCCAUCUAAUAACCUUUUAUAAAUUCUCACUAUGCAGACUCAUUAGAUGCAUGCUGAUCAGUAUUCGGGGAAUGUUGUUUGUUUUUACUGUGAGCAUGUUCCGCCUUUUAUCCUUCAGGGAUUUGUAACAAUGACAUUGCAAUGCUCGGAAGAGAUAAACAACAUAAGCUAUGCCUGGCGAGGGCUAAGAGAACAGCUGGGUGAUGAAAUUGAUAGGAAAGUGAACAGAAUGUGUUUUCUCAAGGGAAAAAUGGUUUACUUUGUGUGCUUGACAACACUGAAGAGCAAGUAGGCAUUUUUACCAUUUCACCUUUAUAAACAAUUUGGGGACCUAUGCUCUAGUUCUUUGUCUUUGUAAAGUGUGAAUUUUUGUGAUGUUGCCUUCACUGAUUUUUUUUUUUCUUUUAAUACCAUUGUUGGUCUGUGAAUUGACUAAAAGUUAUUUUAUGUACAAUGUGGGGCAACAUACACAAACUUCCUUCUAUAACUUGUGACCUGCUGUAUUAGGAUCCUUUCUUCCCUCACUGAAAUAAACAUUUUCAUGAAGUUUACAUUCUACAUUUGAAUAUUUAAAUCCACAGUAAACUUAUACAUCUAUCUGCUUAGAUCAAACUUCUUUGUCGAAAAGAAUUGACAAUCUGAGCCACAUGAGAUAGUGGACAACAUUUUAGGAAAGGAAGAAUAAUAUUGGUGAGAAGUAAGAAAAUAUGUUUGGAAAGAAGUGGCUCUGCAGGAAAGAGAAAAUGUUACCUAGGGAAGAAUUGGUGAAGUACAUGAUGAAAAAGCACAUGUGCUGAACUGCUUAAUGCCUGUGAAAUAGUUUGAUAUCUGGGAUGAAAGGCACUAUAGGUGUGUAAAACAUUGUGCUGCUCCACGUCAGUUUUUUUUCCAAAGGUAAAAUUGCUUUAGCUCCCAAAUAUUCAACAAGUUAAACUUGACUUCAGAAAGUGAAAAUUCACAGAUCCUUUUAAUUAAACUGUCUCUAUUCCCUAAAGGUUGUGUGCUUUAACAAGUAUUUCAGUGUUACCCAAAACUAUGGAUUACAAGGUCUCGAUUUUCUGGAAUCCAUUUUAAACUUUUUUUUUUAGGGGGGUGUUUUGAUAUUCCUGCAGUGAAUCUUAAACAAAUACAGGGAAAAUGGCAGGAUUCAAAACACUGGCAUCUGACUGUGGCAACUCAAUUACCCGAGUUAGCAGAAACCCAGCGAGAAGGAGGCAGAGGCUUCUAUGACUCCAGGAAUGGGAGGCGAAGUGGCAGCUUUAAUAGAAACAGAUUCAGAAAUAGAGGCCAGAAACGAAGUUUUGACUGAGCAUUUGAUCACUAGCUCUAACAAUAAAAUUUGCAGAAAUGAGACUAAAAUAUUUUUAUCCACAUUAAAAAAAGUCAUGUUCAUUCUAUGUUUGUGCCACUAGCAAAAUCUGUCAUUCAAAAUGUGUUUUUUCCAGUAUUGCUAGGGAUGGCUGUAUACAGGACCAAUUCAGAGAACAACAAUUCAGUUUAUAAAAAAUUAUGCCUUAUCUUCCCCACAGCUACGACUAAAGAAUAUUCAUCAGCCUCCUCCACAGCGCCUUGUUCCAGGAUGUGUCUUUUGCAAUCAGAAAUCUGGCUUGGGUUUACUACACAGUAUAUAUCAAAAUCUCCAUUUGAAUUGGUCUCCAGUGGUGACUGAAACCUGUCCACUUUCCAAAAUAAUUAAAUUAUUAUUUCUACAUGGUCA